UCUAAUAUGGCAGAAUAGUGCAUUAGAUUUAAGCUCUAAAUAUAAAAUAAUUAAAUUUUUAUUAGAA
RNAcentral lists this transfer RNA (67 nucleotides) under Pachycephus smyrnensis. RNAcentral describes it as "tRNA-Leu". It matches the Rfam family "tRNA". From Rfam's summary of the family: Transfer RNA (tRNA) molecules are approximately 80 nucleotides in length. Their secondary structure includes four short double-helical elements and three loops (D, anti-codon, and T loops). The record is from RNAcentral. Lineage: Eukaryota; Metazoa; Arthropoda; Insecta; Hymenoptera; Cephidae.